Molecule: long non-coding RNA, 7246 nt
Organism: Hemicordylus capensis (graceful crag lizard)
Lineage: Eukaryota; Metazoa; Chordata; Lepidosauria; Squamata; Cordylidae
Exons: 2
Source: RefSeq, a predicted model, not a curated record
UUGACGGUUGAAAGGGGAGCGGGGGAGGGAGACGACCGAGGGAAAAGGCGGGAAAAGGUCAAGGAAAAGAGCGGAGGAGAACCAGGACUGUUUUCUUUCUCCCUCUCACUAACAUUUGUACUCAGUAUUGUCAUUCAAAAACACAUUUAUUCAAUAUGUGGUAAAUGCAGACAAUCAUUCACACUUCUGAAGGGCACAGCAGCACAAAAGGCAAAUUUACAAGGAGCCACGUUUGCAAAGAAAGCCCAUAAUAUAUAAAAAAGUAUUUUAAUCGCAAAGAAGCAAAAGAUUAUUUUAAUCCCUCACUCUUCACCCUGGCAGGUUUGCCUAAGCCUAUCAUCUUCCCUUGUGUUCUUCUAAUUUACCACUUCAACUAAGGCAAUAUUUUCCUCAAGAGUCAUCUUCCUGCAACACCUUAUAUUCGUAAUAUUAUCUUAGACUUAUCUUUAAAAAAAAAAAAUUUAACCAGGAAAUAAUCCUUGUUAGAAAUGUAGACAUUUUUGAGAGAUUAUUACACCCAAACACUACACGAAUGGUUAUUCAUUUGUUUCCCAAACAUGUCAAGCUAAUACUUUAAAAGCCAAAACACUUGUUGCUCUCCAAAAUAUUUAUAUAGCCCUUUAACAAAAAAUUGUUUUCAAAGUGGUUUGCAUAGCAAAACAUAUGAGGAAGAAAAGGCCAACUGACACUGUAGAACAUUGCAAUUGACAACAGUAAUUGACAAAUUUUUAAUAAAUGUGACCAUAGUAAAAGUCCUCUUAAACCAGAUUUCUUGUGAUAUAUGCCAGGAUAUAACCAAAUACCAUGUGUACAUGCUAAAUUAGCCACUGCAUUAACAAAUGAAUUAUGUAAAACUAGGACUGCAAUAUUUAGUUGAUUAACAGAUUAGAUCAAGUUAUAAAACAUCUGUUGACACAUUGAAGAGGUAGACUUUUUUUUUAAAAACCUAGUAAUUAUAUUUAAUAUAGGUACAAAUUAAGGAGUGAGACACAGCAACUUAGAAGAUCAUUUCCUCUCAUGCAAAGGAAGUAUCUCCUGUGACAUGCACCCCAUCUAAAACCAAAUCAUGGCUUUUUCUUUCGCAUUUCUAUGCGGAUUUAAUUAAAGCUGCCAUUAUUAAGAUUUUUUAAUUGAGUGACAGCCCUAAUUGAAAUAUUCCUUUUUUUAAAAAGCAUGACUGAGCAAUUGCAUAACACAUCUACCUAUAGUGCUUAUGUGUUCAAAAAUAGCUGUGUGAUAAGGGUGGUAGAAGUGUGUGUGUGUGUGUGUGUGUGUGUGUGUGUGUGUGCGUGCAUACACACACUCUCAAUGCAAGUGAGGAAUUAUAAAUAAUAAUAAAUUAUAAGCCACCACAGUGUAGUGAUUAGAGUGUUGGACUAGGACCGGGAAGACCGAAGUUCAAAUCAUGAAACUCACUGGGUGACUCUGGGCCAGUCAUGUAUCUCUCAGCCUAACCUACCUCACAGGGUUGUUGUGAGGAUAAAAAUAAGCAUAUAUACUGCUCUGAGCUCCUCAGAGGAAGAGCGGGAUAUAAAUGUAAAAAUUAUAUAUAUAUAAAUAGGGUUUCACUCAAUGCAGAAGCCUUGGAUGGUAUCUCUUCUUACUGAUUAAUCCCCUUGCUACAAAACAGUAUCCACAAUAUUAUUAUUAUUAUUAUUAUUACAUUUAUAUCCCGCUCUUCCUCCAAGGAGCCCAGAGCGGUGUACUACAUACUUGAGUUUCUCUUUCACAACAACCCUGUCAAGUAGGCUAGGCUGAGAGAGAAGUGACCGGCCCAGAGUAUUAUGGCUGAAUGGGGAUUUGAACUCGGGUCUCCCUGGUCCUAGUCCAGCACUCUAACCACUACACCACGCUGGCUCUCAUAAUCACUAACAUGUCAAUCACAAUCAUGUCAUAAUCACUCCACAUAAGACAGUCCCUAAGGGCACAGACAUUGUCCAAACAAAGGCAUAAAAAGAGACUUUGAGCUCAAAACCCAAAGUAUAGGUCAAUGUUAACAAAUUUCCCACAGGCACAGAUCUUCUUGUGUAUGAAUGCACGUAAACACAAAGGCACUCUUCUAUACUCUUAAGUAUAGCAGUCAUACUUUGCCACUCCUUCAAUGCACAGCAUUUGAAAUCAGCUCUGAAAGUAUACAGAUCAGUGGCACCAAGAGAUGUGAAUUCUUUUGCUUAAAUUGGGGUGGGUGGGGAAGCCUGCCCAGAUAAAACAGCUAUCAAAUUAAAGCAAGUUUCAUCUUGUCUGCUCUGUGCAACUCCCACAUUGCUUCUUCAAGCAGUCAGGUACUCUUGUUGCUGAAGGGCCUUGUGAAGAAGAUUUCUUCAGGAGUCCUUUCAACAGGGCUGUCUUCCUGAUUCCUCUCCGUGAAAACAAGAAUGGGUGUUAUUCGAGGACAAUGACUUGUGCACGUUAACUCUUUUAACAGCUGACUGCUCUAUAAAAACAGAAGUAGUGAGAGCACAAAAUGAAGGAAGUUGACAGACGUGAAGUGUUAGGAUGAUGGAGAAUAGCAAGGACUCCUUUUGACAGAAAUCUGAGAAUCGGAGUUUUCAUAAACAAGAAGACCUCCCUGCAAAUAAUUCAGAAUCUCCUCCCUUCAUCCAAAACCUAAAAGAGGAGGAGAGGAAGAAGUGCUGAAUUGGCAAAGCUCUCCUAUGUGAGAAUUAUAAACCUAAGUCAUGUUUAGUUCCUGCAUUUUACCCACUGUACCAAUUAGCCUGAGUUAUUUGUUAACCAACUUACAUGAGUCCUAUGAAUUGCAUUUUUACAUGAGUCCUAUGAAUUGCAUGAAUUCCUUAUUGCCCCCCCCCACCAGAGAAGAGUUACCUCUGUUCAGUGGCUUAAUAUGGUUUUUUUUUCCCUUGGGGGGGGCGGUUAACUCUGAAUCCAUCAGUCAAAUCUUGCCAGUUUCAGAGAGUAACAUACUGAGGCAGCUCUACCAUCAUCAUCAUCAUCAUCAUCAUCAUCAUCAUCAUUUAUUUGAUUUCUAUACCACCCUUCCAAAAAUGGCUCAGGGCUGUUUACACAGAGAAAUAACAAAUAAAUAAAUAAGAUGGCUUCAUUAGAGUGAAGUCGCUGCCUCAAAUGGCAGAUUUUGAGCGCCAUUAGGGGGCAGCAUACUGUAAACAGUCGUCAUUUUAGUUUGUGGUUAUAUAUUUACCAUAAAGGUAAAUUUUGGCUUUCUGUCUUGGCCAAGGCUUUUCCAUCCCAGAAUCUCAUGGUGACUUCCUUUCUCACAAGCCUGUCAUUUCCUAUAUUCUGUCUAUCAAAUCCUACCAGCACUCAUCCGCAGCUCUUUUCUUUUCCUCCUUUCUAAACAUAGUAACUUGUCACAAAUUGUUACAAGAGCAAAGUAUUGUAUAUAAUCCCAACAGCUCUGUUUCGAACACUGUGCAUCCAAGUCCGUCUGCUAUACCUAGCAAAGUCAUAGGCAGUCUCUGAAUAUUCAUCAGUUUUGGUGUUUGUAUUUGUAUUUAGCACUUAAACAAUCAAUCAAUUUGUAUACAGUCUUAUUGUAUAGUUCUCGGCAGAAAAUUCUUCCUCUCUUGGAUGGGAAAGGAAAAACCACCAAGGACAGUGUUCAUCUGCAGCACAAUAAUGCUUAAUAUUGGCACAAUGCAAUUAAUAAGUGCACAAAGAGCUUUGUGAGGCCACUGGAGUAAAUUACUGCUGUUAUGGAGACCAUAAAUGCAAAAGCACCAUGAAUAAUCUUUAGAACACUCCUUUAAAGUAGGCUGAUAUAUUACGAUCCUCAUAUAAGAGUGUAGACAGAAUGAGAGAUACAGCUUGCCUAAGGCCACAUAGAGAGUUCCUGGCAGAGCUGACAUCUGAAGCAAGCAAGAAAUUUCCAAAAAAGAUUUUAAUAUAAUAAGUACACUGCAGUUACGGACAUAAUUCACCUUUGUAGGGUUUGUUUGUUUUUAAGGUAUAUUGUCUUCCAUAUUAACUUUUAAUCCUUUCUGCAUGCUGGAUGCAGGCAGUAGCAUGUUAUUUAAACAUUCUUCCUGAUUGAAUGUUUCAAAAAAAAAAAAAAAAACUAAAAGAGAAAAAACACAUCUUUGUUCUAAACUGGGAUUGUGUCCAAAGACAUUGAACUGAACUGUGCAGACAUGAAAAGUAGGAGUUGGAUCCUGAAUUAAAAUUAGACUGAGUGGGAGAGAAACCCUUUGGCUUUCAUUAGUUUCAUGAACCAGGAAUUUGUUUUUUCAGUGAAGGGAGCCACCCAUCGCUGAAGUGCUGUUUUACUGAACUAGACUUCUAAUAGAGAAUACUGCAGUGCAUUCUCCACACUGCAACAUAAUAUCCUCCCAAGAACAAAUACAGGAAUAAAAAUGAAGCAUUCAGCCUGAUCCUAUGCAUAUUUGCUCGGAAGCAAGUCACAGCAAGUUCUGCAUGGCUUACUCCGUGAUCAGAGUACAUUGGAGUUUGCCCCUUAAGAAUAAUAGUUGAAUUGUUAACAAACUUUGUUUCAGCAAGUAACAACAUUUGGCUUGUGAAGUUAAAUGUCAGCUUUAAAAUGGCUUUCCAUUGUACAAGAAGUGUUUUGCAACAUAUAUGAAAACAAACAGUUUUAGCUAAAUUAUUAUUUCUUAAGGCCUACUAAACAACGCAAAUACAUCACUAAUGUGUCGCUAAUUGUUUUUCCUGCUCAUAAUCCUGUCCUUCAGUUUCCCCUCCCAAUUUCCUUAACAUUCAAAAGGAAACAUUUGUGUAUAUAGAUUCUGUAUAAGAAAGUGGGGGUUGAUAUUCAGAUGUGUAAAUACUGUGCUCAUAUUUCAGCAGUAGUGACUGGAACUAAUCUGGCAUUCAAACACAACAGUGCUUCUCCUUUUAUUCCCACACCACUUGCACUCUAGCCUUCCUUCUUUUAGCCAUGUUGCUCCCCUAUUCCUUCUCUAUCCAAGUCAACUAUUUAUUAAAGGCACAAUCCUAACCACAAUUAUUAGGGAGUAAGUCCCACUGACUGAAGCCAUUCUGACAAAGCAAACCUAGGAUCAUGCUGUGUGUUUGUAGUCCAUGCCAACGUAGAUGUACCAGCCAUUAGAUUCAGAGGACCUUACCUCUGAGUAAAUAUGCAUAGGCUUGCAUUGCACACCCCUUUUCAAAACCCACUUUGACCACAAGCCCUUCUAGAUAACUGUAGCUUCAUCGAAUGUAGAGCGUAUUUUUUUUAGCAUGUUGUUAAAGUAUUACUACAUCUUGUCUGCUAUCAGAUAACUUUCUCCUACUUUUAUCCUGCUGUCUCCCGUCUGCCUUUCUGCCUCAGACUGUAUGACUCCUAGACAGGGACAGUAUUAGUUCUGUGAUCGGUACACUGUGUAGCACACUGUUAAUUUUAAUAAAUGCUAAACAGGAAUACCUAGUUGUGAUGGUUAUUUCUGUUCUGGGAUGUUCAGAUUUCAGAAACAUCUCCAAGUAGGACUAUAAAUCUGCCCUGCAGCCUUUGGAAGGUGCAAAUCUGCAACAGCGAUAGAAUGACUGCAACUGGAAGCAUUAUUUGGGGGGCAGGAAGGGAGUCUUGUCUUGCAAAAUGUAGAACCAAACUGUACAGGAGAUGCUACCUGUGUAUGCAUGUUUAUCCUAGAGAUUAUUGUGCCUCCAUCAAAUCACUGCUGGUAUUCUCCCAGAUUAGGGAAACACCUAUAUUGGGCAGCGGCAGUAUAGGAAGAUGCUGAAAAGCAUCAUCUCAUAGUGCGCAGGAGAUGGCAAUGGUAAACCCCUCCUGUAUUCUACCAAAGAGAAUCACAUGACUCUGUGGCCGCCAAGAUUCGACAUGACCAGGGGCAUAGCUGCAAUUGAGCAAAAAGGUUCCAAGAACAUGGGCCCCCAGCUCCUGAGGGCCCUCCAGUUCCCUCCCUCCUAAUUGUCUUCAUUAUCUCCCUCACUCUGGGGACCGCCAGAGAGAGGGAUGAACACGGCCCCCUCCCCCCCAGCUAUGCCACUGGACACGACAGCACAACUUUCCUUCAUUUGCAGCUACAUCUCUGCACAGGGACAGAGACUUCGACCGACUAGCUGCAGUCCCUGUUUUCUGGUACUUCCAGUUGAUAUGCUGGUCCUUGCUUUUACCUUGAAGGAAGGGGUUGAUAGGUGGGGGCCUCGCUCUUGUUCAACCACAACUCCCAUCUUCUUCAGUCACAAGGGCUAAAGGGCUGGGGGAUGAUGUGUGUUAUAAUCCAACACCUUCUGUGGGGUCAGCUUUGAGGAGCUGUGCCUCAGGGGAUGCCUUGUUAAAGUCUUGUAAAGGGGGUAAGUUGCUAAAAUUGUCUUCCUUGAGGGUUUGCAUCCCUCCCCGGGGUUUCUCUAGAUGUUAAAUCACUGGAGAGUGGGUGAAUGCUUCUAGUCUCUAACACACAUGCAAAUAAACAUGUGCACAUGAACACUAAGACCUCAUAGAGCAUCUGGCCAGCUGUUCCAUAGACAUACACACAGCAAAUAUGAAGGGAUGUUUUGAACUGGCAGUUUUAACGCAAGGGGAAAGUGUGCUUUUGAACUAGGACCAGGCAAGGUGAAGACCAACUUCUGUGACUGGAUAACCAAAGGCCUUUCUCCCUUCAUGUAGCAGCAGCAGGUUGAACAGUAGAAAGCUUUCCUCUUUGUCCCAGCACUCCGAAGCCCUGGCUUGAACUACUUGUUAAGAGUGCUGGCUUCUGUCCCCAGCUCACCCUGUUGAAUAUCUGCCCACCCGCCCGCAGUAUUUUUAACCCGUGGGUUCUUGAGGACACAAACAGCAACUGAACCCACAAGAAUGCAAGACUAUAAAACAGAUCCAUCCGUGAAGGAUCUCGUUUCUACAAUGAAGCAUCCAGACUGUCGAUUGCUCUCUCCUCGCUAAGGACUUCUUACCUUCUGCUCCAAUCUAGAAUCAUGGAACCAGUGAGGGCAAGAGAUAAGAUGCAGGUUCAGAAUAAGCAAGAUGACUAGAACUUCGCUUCCCAUAAAAGGCUGCACCCGGCCACACCUGAUCCAUCAGGGCAAGCUCUUAUGUCGCCAAGUUUUGUUGGACUGCUAGCAAUAUCCGACAACAAACAUUAGCUCCGCACAAUUAAAGAGGCUCGAAUUUACUCUGCAUAGGUGGACAUCGUCGGAUGCAGUAUCAAUUGUGCUACUGUGUUUUGCUUAGUUACUUUGUUUUUUCCGACUUGUAUUGAUUGUUUGCUGGUCUGCGGCUAUAUCAACAAAGAUUUUUUUUUUUAAGAGAUAAGCUCUUAUGUUAUAGUUCAUUAAAAGAAAUACACUCUCUUUA